CGACCUCGUUGCUUUGGCGGGUCGCAGGGCCGAAAGGUCCCCUGCAUAUGCGCCCGGGUGCUCCGGCCCCGGGGGUAGAGCCCGUCGAAGGCCCCUUGAAACUCUGUUUAUAAUGUCGUCCGAGGAAAAACCACAAUCAAUUUUAAAACUUUCAACAACGGAUCUCUUGGUUCUGGCAUCGAUGAAGAACGCAGCGAAAUGCGAUAAGUAAUGUGAAUUGCAGAAUUCAGUGAAUCAUCGAAUCUUUGAACGCACAUUGCGCCCCUCGGUAUUCCGGGGGGCAUGCCUGUUCGAGCGUCAUUGCACCCCUCAAGCUCUGCUUGGUCUUGGGCCCUAGUCCCCUGGACUUGCCCGAAAGUCAGUGGCGGUCCGGCGUGACUUCGAGCGUAGUAAAUUCUCUCCCGCUCAAGGUUCACGGCGCGACCGGGCCAUCAACGCCCCAUUUUUUCCAAUGAUUGACCUCGGAUCAGGUAGGGAUACCCGCUGAACUUAAGCAUAUCAAUA
This 504-nucleotide ribosomal RNA is filed under the name Lecanora argentata. Its description in RNAcentral is "eukaryotic LSU rRNA". The stretch from base 147 to 300 matches the Rfam family "5.8S ribosomal RNA". The record is from RNAcentral. Lineage: Eukaryota; Fungi; Ascomycota; Lecanoromycetes; Lecanorales; Lecanoraceae.